This is an RNA transcript of Dama dama (fallow deer), 5659 nucleotides long. It is a transcript of the gene named zygote arrest 1 like, with no coding region annotated. Lineage: Eukaryota; Metazoa; Chordata; Mammalia; Artiodactyla; Cervidae. The transcript has 11 exons. The record is from RefSeq and is a predicted model, not a curated record.
CCGCUCCGUCUCUCGUUUGGAUGGCCGCCCCCACCCCCGACGCGGCCUGCGGUCUGUGAAAAGUCUUUGUUCUCUACUAAGAGGGCGUUGCCUAAAGUGGGCAGACGUUAGAAAAACCCCACAGUGGUCAGUCUGUGUGGAUGACUUCUUGCCCAACGGAGAGCUCCCUGUAGAGUGGAAGGGGCUGAGAUUUGAAGCCGCAGGACAUUGGUUAUAGAAUGCGUGUUGCUGUUGGGCAGCAGAAUUUCAAAAACCUUUGAGACUCCCGGCUUGAAAAGUUGUUAAGCCUAUCUCAAGUCUCUUGUAGUUUUAGAUAUUACUUCCUUCUGCAGGCUUCCGUAGUAUCCUUGACGUAUCCUUGACGCUCCUAGAGUGCUAAGCACCUGUUUUGUGCCUGAAAUGCUCUGAAACUGCCCUGGAAGACAGCAGUCUCAUUCACAGAGUAUGGGCUAUGGCUAGCACAAGGCUUAAUUCAGGUUUAUUGUAGGACCUAGAAAGCCAACUGGAUUCUGAAAGUGAUAGUGGCCUUGCUAUUAUCCAAAGGCUCCGACCAAUGAACAGUGAAAGCAAAUUUGAAUUCGAAAAAGGGUGCCGUUUACUUGGUACCUGAGGUGUCAUUUUAGUUUGAUCAUAAUCCUUGGCUGUAGACACAAAAGCUUAUGAUCAUCUAGGUCUAAAUAGCACAGAUACCCAGACCUGUGAUCUUUAGCCAAUAACAGCUACCUCUUAAUGAGCAUCUGUGAGUUAUUCUUUAUGCUCUGUAAGUAAUAUCACAUUUAACCUUAUGGUAAUCUUAUAAAUUUUUUGGAGUUGUCAGAUGGGGAAACUGAAUCAUCCAGUUGCUUUAUAAGUAAUAUCACAUUUAACCUUACGAUAAUCUUAUAAAUUUUUUAAUAUUGUUAGAUGGGGAAACUGAACCAUCCAGUUGAGUAAGUUGUCUAGUAAACAAGGCCCAGGUGGACAGAGGAGCCUGGCAGGCUACUGUCCAUGGGGUCGGAAAGAGUGGGACACUACUGAAGCGAUUUAACGUGCAGCACGGCAAGUUUCACUUCAAGUCUUUUACUUAAGAUACUUAACUAUCCUGUGAUUAAGUCUGCAUUUAACCUCUAAGAACAGUUUGCUUCUUUUCUGCUUUUGGGGAAAAUUCUCACUAGAGUGGACUAAUGAGAACGGUUGACAUGUUAUACAACCCUCUGAAAUGUAAUUUUUCACUAAAUACACUGCCCCCCCCCCCCCAUAACUAUGCUCCUUGCUGCUGCAGAACCAGGUUUUUUACAUUUAUGCAUUCUGCUAUAAUACUGUCUUCUUUAUGCUCACUAUAAUAGUGCAGCAGCUCAAAUUUUGCUGCUUGUAUUCAAUCUUUUUUAUUUUUAAAACACAAUCUCUGAAAUUGUUAAGUCACUAUAGGAAUAAAUUGGAGCUUCCUGGGUAGCUCAAAUGGUAAAGAAUCUGCCUGCAGUGCAGGAGACCUGGGUUCGAUCCAUGGGUUGGGAAGAAGGGCAUGGCAACCCACUCCAGUAUUCUUGCCUGGAGAAUCCCAUGGACAGAGGGGCCUGGUGGGGUGCAGUUCAUAGGAUCACCAAGUCGAUUCAGAUGACUGAAUUUACUAAGCAUGCAUAGGAAUAAAUUAGAAUUGCAUUAAAGCAUGUGUGUGAAUAAGAAGUUAAAUGAAAAACAGCUUUGAAAAAAAAAGAUUCAAGAGCAGUGGAUUGAAGAGAGAGAGAGAGAGAUUCCAAUUAUGGAUCAGGUGGCAAUUAGGCCUCUCUAGGUAGGGAUAUUGCCUUCCCUCCUCCAAUUUGGGUAAUAGGCAGCAGCACUCGUCAGAAUCUGAAAUAAAUGGAGAAGCUCUGGAAGAAUGUGAACCAACGUGACCUGGAGAAAAAGGGGGUGGAUGAAGGUGGAAGACAAAACAAGGACUGAAACUGCCUCGGGAUAUUGUGCUGAGCCUGGGCGCCAGGUGGUCGGAUGGAGCGCAUCUUCUGUGUUCCCUACAGCUUGUACCCGGGCUAUGGGAACAUGCUGCGUUUGGGCCAGUCUGGACCCUCUGAGCACAGACAACCUCACUGGAGUCAAACCAACGUUCCCCCCACUUUCUUGGCCAGGCCCAGGCUGCUGAUGCCCUCCAAUGCCUCCGACUACUGCGUGGACCCUUACAAGAGAGCCCAGCUCAUGGCCGUUUUCUCCCAUAUGAACCCCGGCCUGAGCCUGCGGCUGCGCAAGGCCAACACCAAGGAUGUGGGCGUGCAGGUGAGCCCCCGGGUGGGCAAGUCCGUCCAGUGCUCUCUGGGGCCUCGCACCCUGGACAGCCUCUCCUCCUGGGCCAGCGCAGGCCACAGGGCACCCGCGUCCGCCUGGGGCGUCUCUUCACCAGUGCCCGGCCACUGCGGCCAGGUGCUACUGCGGAAGGCGCCCUCGGGUCCUCCGGUGGCUGGCCAGCCGCCCCCGCCACUACCACCACCAAGGUUAGAAGAGGAUCCCCUCGAGGAACUCCAGCCGCGUGAGGAGCUGGCGGAGGAAGACUCCUCGAGUCCUCGGGAGAGGAAGAGCAAGCCGGCCCCGGUAGACUCCAGCCAGCCGCCUGGGAGGCCUAACUUCCAGUUUUUAGAACCCAAAUAUGGCUAUUUUCACUGUAAAGAUUGUAAGACCAGAUGGGAGAGUGCUUAUGUGUGGUGCAUUUCUGGAACUAAUAAGGUUUAUUUCAAACAACUCUGUUGCAAAUGCCAAAAGAGUUUUAACCCUUAUCGAGUGGAAGCAAUCCAGUGCCAGGAUCUUAGUUCCCCAACCAGGGAUCAAACCUGCCCCUCCCUGCAUUGGAAGUGUGGAGUCUUAACCACUGAACCACAAGGAACGUCCCCCUUAGAAACUUUGGACAUGUCAGAAGAGUCGAGUGUUCAAGUAGAGCUCAGAAAUGGCUGUGAAAUUCCAUGUCCAUCAGCUAAAAUCACUUACAGCAGAUGAAGUGAUGACCUCUGCAGCUUUCCUAGGGCCAGCUCCGCAGAACCAGGAGUUGACCUGUGCUAAUUCACUGAAGGCUUGAGGCUGUGGCCUGGAGAGCCCAGAGCUGCAACGCUUUACCCUGACCUAUGUUUCUAUGAACUUCAACUCCCCAGAAGCCACUCCACAAUGAAUUCCACGGGCAACGGAAAGAGCUCACCUUGAAGGUGAUUUCUCAUCCUUUGAAGGCUCCACACUCUGACAUGCUUUUCUCGAUGUGAUAGUGUAAUUAGAAGUUGACAUCUCUGCCUUGGCCAUGCCUGGUCUACGAUGGGAAAUGCUCCCUGGAAAUUACACACAAGUAUUUGUUGGAAAUCAGGAGGUCUGCAUGGAUGGUUUCUGAAUCACUUCUGUCUGUGACAUUAUACAGUUUACAUCUUUGAAGGAAGGAGGAAGAAAAGAGCAGGAGCUGAGGCCAAGAGAAACCACGGUGAUGGGGAGAAACAGAUACUGAGAGUGGUGGAGAAGAGAGGUAUCCAAAUAUUCUUGCAGUUCUAAAACACUGAACUUGAGCUUGUCCAGAAGUCCACAAGAAAGGAGCUAAUAAAGACAGGAAAAUAAUUUGUAUUAAAACAACUUCCAGAGAGACACCUAGACAAAGGCAUGGCUACACAGAAAGAAAAGAGAAGUAUACUUAGAUGUAAUACAGAGUGUGUCGGGGGUGGCAUCUGUUUUAAUAACCUGUACAGUUUGUAAUUUUGCUCCACUCUCAAAAGCAAUUGCACUUGAAUAUGACUUGCUAAUUUAAAUUUCCUGUGAAGAUACCCAUUUCCCCCAUAUCAGUUUAGACAGACAAAUCUUAACAAGCAUUCUACAGAAGCCUGCAUUAAGAAUCGGCAUCCAUUUUAUGCAUGGACUCCAGUGUCUUCAUCCAGUAAUACUCCAGGAAGUGUGAAGAUAGACCUCCAACUAGGUCUUUUUAUUUAAUUUGCAUUUUAAAUCAUUUAAGAUAGAAAGAUUUCUCAUAUCGUAUUCUUUGCUACAAGACAGCCAACCACUAAUCAAGUUCCUGGAAAGACUGACUCUUCAGAGACUUUCAGAAGUGAAGCACAUCUUCAUUGUCUCUAAACCCCAGUAAGUACUGAGCAGAUGAGACGGUUCUGUGAUAUGCAUAGGGGAUGGAAAGAGGUGCCCCUCUCCCCUACAGAAAGCUUGCUGGUCUUGGAAGGUUAGCAUUGUGUUUAUAUAGUCACGAUUCAGCAGUCAGCCAGCAACUAUUUUAAUCAUCCUUCAAAUUCAUCUGCAGUGGGGCUGGAUGAAUCCAGCAAGAGGGCAGGUGGUCUCUCGGAAGAAGAGAAAGUGAUGACAUGGUGCCUCUGGGGACCCAUCCGGCUGGCUGACCUGGCAUCAUGGGGACUGGCUAGGGCUGCUCUGAGAGGUUAGCACACCAUGUUCACAGCCUUUAGGGUCAUCAGAGAGAAGCACCAUGGACACAGAGGGGGCACAGGGCUGGGGGGUUGGCGGGGGUCUCUUCCUGAUCUCCUGUAGUGACGGCCUUGGCUGGCCACGCACAGCCAUUCCUGUGCAGACCCAGGCCUUUGGGGCUCCCAUCACCACACAGCGCUGCUCACAAACACCGAAGUGUCUUUCCAACAAACUGCAAUUGCACACGUGCUUCCCUGAGGUUCCACACUGUCAGCUGGGCAGGCCAUUGACCACGGGAGUAGGCCUGGGAUACUCACGGUCUCGGCGUCCACGAAGAGCGUGGGGCACUCAGAGCAGGAGAUCACAGCUCCUAGAGACAGGAGGACUAAAACAGAGCCACAAAGUCUCUGAAGAAAGAAAGAGUAAAUUCUGUGUGGGACCUGUCUCCCUGAGAGCUUUGCACAUGUCACCUCAUCAGUGCUCACAACCAGGUAAAGAACCGGAGGUUAAGAGAGGUCAGAGGACUCGAGAUCAUGCAAACAAUAAAUGUCUUAGGAAUUGAUCCAGUCAACUGAUAAAAAAAAAAAUCCAAACUCCAGUGUUCCUGCCAGUACCCAGCCCCAUGUCCCAGCUCACAUGACAACCUGUUGCUGUACUGGCAUUAGGUGGAAACUGUGCAUUUGAGAUUUACAUUGAAAGAGUCUUUUUCCUACUGCAUUUACUGAGUACCUAUUGCGUGUGAGCCAUGGUGCCAGCCACUGCGAUCAAAGCAAGACACCAUUGCCUGCCCUCGCCCGCAGGAGACAGACACCUGAACAGGUGGUCAGAGGGCCCAUUCCUCCAUCCAGCACAAGUUAGCAUGCCUUUUCUCAUGAUGUACUCAAGAGAAUCAACCUCUCAAAAAGUGUCACAGGCCGGCAGGUUGAAGGAAUUCAUGGUGAGUGGGAAUAAAAGAUAAGGGAAAAGCAACGAAGAAGGAAGAGGUACAGCAGAGGUCGGAGUGGAAAGAAGAGAUGGAGAAUGGGCUUGGUUGAAGAUACCCUCUGUGGUCCUGAAGGCCUGGCUGCCUGCCUGGGCCUAAUGACGCCAAUGAAAGCCGGAGGGACCAGUGAGAAUCACGUCCCAGCGGCCUGAACCACUGAGCACAAUGUCUCCGUGAUGAAUGGAAGAAAGGAUGAAGUCAGAGGAAACUGAGGAAAAAGUGUAGUGUAAACCCAGUGCUUCCCCGCUCAGGUCGAGGCCAGCUGGCUCCCUGAAGAGCUGGUGGCUGCGGAGCCUUUGCAGGCAGCAUACCUUAAAC